RNAcentral lists this long non-coding RNA (1049 nucleotides) under Nicotiana tabacum (common tobacco). Its description in RNAcentral is "long non-coding RNA (NTAB_LNC004608)". The record is from RNAcentral. Lineage: Eukaryota; Viridiplantae; Streptophyta; Magnoliopsida; Solanales; Solanaceae.
GGGGAGAAUUGUUAGUUUUUCCAACAAUUAUGGUGAUGUAUGGGAGAGGUAAGCAAUGAUGCAACUCUCCUUAGUGAGAUAAGCAAUGAUGCAAUGAGUGGUAGGUGAGAUGAGAAUAUUGCAAAUUGAUCCUUCUUGGUAGGUGAGAUUUGCACUUUUGGUCCCUAUCUCAAAACUAUAAAUACCCCCUUCCAUUUCAUUGUAUAACACACCAAAAAAAAAUAUAUCAAAACUUAAGAAGAAAGAGUUUGAGAGGGAGAGAGAUGUAUUUCCUUUAGGAAUGUUUCCUAAUAGGGGAGUGACAAAAUAGUGAGUAGAAAUACUAGUCGGGUAUUUUUCGGGAAACACUUUUGUGUGCGCCACUAUUUUGGGUAGAACUCAGGAAUUGUUGUACCUCCAAAUUAUUGGGGAAGUCUCUCUUUGUAUGCCUGCUAAAUGUUUUAGUGGAAGUUGGUGUCGGAUUUGUGGACGUAGCCUAAACGUUUUAGGUGAACCACGUUAAAUAUUGUGUCAUUUAUUUUUGGUUUCGUUGAUCAUUUAUUUUAUUCCGCUGUGCAGUAAUGUUUAGUGCCACCGGGUCCUAACAAAGACGGCUGCAUCCUUCAAUCUCUUCGAUGUCUUCCUUAAGUUUCACAGCUGAAGGCUCCAGAGUUUGUGGCCUGCGCCCAAUCAACUUAAUCUGUUUCAAUGUUUCAAUAUCUGCAAAGCUAGGGGGAAUCUCCUCAAGCUUGUGACACAUUCUUAUAACAAGCGUUUCAAGCUUAGGAAAAGAUUCCUCUGGGUCAUCCAACCUUGAGAUACCUAACGACACCAGCUUCAACAACUUAAGUUUAUUGAACUCGAUAUCUUUGAGGCACCACUCUUCCGACUUAGUUCCCCAAUCCUUUAAUUUGAGAUACUCUAGAUUUGGUAGUCCUGCAAUCAAGGGAACUGCGCUUACUAUAUGAGGCCCUUCAAGUUUCAACUUCUUUAGAUUUGAAGGAAAGUGUAACUCAGUUAUACUAAAUUUCCUACCCUCAAAGAAAAGGUCAAGUAAUUGCAGCCGAGUA